CAUCCUCGUCAGUUUUGCAGUCUGCGAGUUCAACGAAAGAAAACGUUUAACAGCGCUGUUUAAUACGGUACCGCACCGCCGUUGCUAUGUGUACAUUCAGGGAAAUCUUAAUCUGUACAUCGUUUGCCGUCUGUUUCUCUCAGUUGCUAAUAGUAUGCAAAGCAGACCAAGAUGUAACGUAUAAUUUCACGGCAUUAAGUGACGCUGAUAUAGUUUCAUAUGGAAAAGACCUUCUCUUGAAGCCGAAGGAUGAAUUCAAGGAAUACGGCAAGGAACUGAUCAAGCGAUAUUACUCUGCCGCGCGAGUUUUUGAUGUUGUGAAUGCUACUAUCCACGAAGCGAAAAGAUUUGCAGUCGAGAAGAAUCAGACACUAAGUGACCAAGAUCCAGUCUGGAAAGCUCUGAACGAAACGAUCGAACAUUCCGGGGAAAAUCUGUCGAAACUGAACACAACAGUGACAGCGUUUAACAGCGCAGCCGAGCGACGAGGCGAAAUAAAAGCCAUCAUAAAAGCUGUGGAGGCUGGAGCUAAGUACUUCACUCAAGCUUUCAAAGGAAGCAAAGGUGAUAAGAAGAAGGAUUCCUCGAAGCCGAAAGAUCAUACGGUGCUAGGUGCUUCUCCGUCUCUUUCCCACUGUCCGUCUGUUCCUCAGCAAUGUAGCUGUCCCCCAGUCCAGAAGUGUAGCUGUCCGCCAGUUCAGAAGUGUAGCUGUCCGCCAGUUCAGCAAUGUAACUGUCCUCCUGUAAAUCGACCAUCCGGUGUCUAUGGACAGCCACCCUCGAAAGAUAAAACUAAGCCUCCAAUGAACAGCGGAUCACGACCUGCCCAAUACACCGGGUAG
RNAcentral lists this long non-coding RNA (842 nucleotides) under Bemisia tabaci. RNAcentral's name for it is "lncRNA ENSSSA1UGG008348". The record is from RNAcentral. Lineage: Eukaryota; Metazoa; Arthropoda; Insecta; Hemiptera; Aleyrodidae.